Molecule: ribosomal RNA, 253 nt
Filed under: uncultured bacterium
Lineage: Bacteria
Description: partial 16S ribosomal RNA
Rfam family: Bacterial small subunit ribosomal RNA
Source: RNAcentral
UACGUAGGGCGCAAGCGUUGUCCGGAAUUAUUGGGCGUAAAGAGCUCGUAGGCGGUUUGUCGCGUCGGGAGUGAAAACCAGGUGCUUAACACCUGGCUUGCUUUCGAUACUGGCAGACUAGAGGUAUUCAGGGGAGAACGGAAUUCCUGGUGUAGCGGUGAAAUGCGCAGAUAUCAGGAGGAACACCAAUGGCGAAGGCAGCUCGCUGGGACGGUAUUGACGCUGAGACGCGAAAGCGUGGGGAGCAAACAGG